Molecule: small nucleolar RNA, 80 nt
Organism: Papaver somniferum (opium poppy)
Lineage: Eukaryota; Viridiplantae; Streptophyta; Magnoliopsida; Ranunculales; Papaveraceae
Product: small nucleolar RNA U31b
Exons: 1
Source: RefSeq, a predicted model, not a curated record
GAAUAUGAUGAUAGGUAUUGUCGCCCCAGUCUUACAUGCAUCAAUGGUGCAGUAUGGUGAUUGACUUCAAUUCCUGAUUC